GAGGAAUAUUGCUCAAUGGGCGCAAGCCUGAAGCAGCGACGCCGCGUGGAUGAAGAAGGUUUUCGGACUGUAAAAUCCUUUUCUGUGUGACGAGAGUGGACGGUAGCACAGGAAUAAGUCUCGGCUAACUCCGUGCCAGCCGCCGCGGUAAUACGGGGGGGGUAAGCGUUGUUCGGAAUUACUGGGCGUAAAGGGCUCGUAGGCGGCCAACUAAGUCAUACGUGAAAUCCCUCAGCUUAACUGGGGAACUGCGUGUGAUACUGGAUGGCUUGGAUUUGGGAGAGGGAUGCGGAAUUCCAGGUGUAGCGGUGAAAUGCGUAGAUAUCUGGAGGAACACCGGUGGCGAAGGCGACAUCCUGGACCGGCAUUGACGCUGAGGCGCGAAAGCCAGGGGAGCAAA
Molecule: ribosomal RNA, 400 nt
Filed under: uncultured bacterium
Lineage: Bacteria
Description: bacterial SSU rRNA
Rfam family: Bacterial small subunit ribosomal RNA
Source: RNAcentral